CCCUUCGGGGUGUGACUGCGUACCUUUUGUAUAAUGGGUCAGCGACUUAUAUUCUGUAGCAAGGUUAACCGUAUAGGGGAGCCGGAGGGAAACCGAGUCUUAACCGGGCGUUAAGUUGCAGGGUAUAGACCCGAAACCCGGUGAUCUAGCCAUGGGCAGGUUGAAGGUUGGGUAACACUAACUGGAGGACCGAACCGACUAAUGUUGAAAAAUUAGCGGAUGACCUGUGGCUGGGGGUGAAAGGCCAAUCAAACCGGGAGAUAGCUGGUUCUCCCCGAAAGCUAUUUAGGUAGCGCCUCGUGAAUUCAUCUCCGGGGGUAGAGCACUGUUUCGGCUAGGGGGCCAUCCCGGCUUACCAACCCGAUGCAAACUGCGAAUACCGGAGAAUGUUAUCACGGGAGACACACGGCGGGUGCUAACGUCCGUCGUGAAGAGGGAAACAACCCAGACCGCCAGCUAAGGUCCCAAAGUCAUGGUUAAGUGGGAAACGAUGUGGGAAGGCCCAGACAGCCAGGAUGUUGGCUUAGAAGCAGCCAUCAUUUAAAGAAAGCGUAAUAGCUCACUGGUCGAGUCGGCCUGCGCGGAAGAUGUAACGGGGCUAAACCAUGCACCGAAGCUGCGGCAGCGAACGUAUCACCCAAGACAACUUUACGGAGUUGACGAUUGACGGAGCGAAGCGACGUCAAAGCGUUCAUUAAAGUCGAGUUGGCUUAGGGAUACGUUCGUUGGGUAGGGGAGCGUUCUGUAAGCCUGUGAAGGUGUGUCGUGAGGCAUGCUGGAGGUAUCAGAAGUGCGAAUGCUGACAUAAGUAACGAUAAAGCGGGUGAAAAGCCCGCUCGCCGGAAGACCAAGGGUUCCUGUCCAACGUUAAUCGGGGCAGGGUGAGUCGACCCCUAAGGCGAGGCCGAAAGGCGUAGUCGAUGGGAAACGGGUUAAUAUUCCCGUACUUGGUGUUACUGCGAAGGGGGGACGGAGAAGGCUAUGUUGGCCGGGCGACGGUUGUCCCGGUUUAAGCGUGUAGGUGUGUGUUCCAGGUAAAUCCGGUUCACUUUAACACUGAGGCGUGACGACGAGGCACUACGGUGCUGAAGCAACAAAUGCCCUGCUUCCAGGAAAAGCCUCUAAGCAUCAGGUAACACGAAAUCGUACCCCAAACCGACACAGGUGGUCAGGUAGAGAAUACCAAGGCGCUUGAGAGAACUCGGGUGAAGGAACUAGGCAAAAUGGUGCCGUAACUUCGGGAGAAGGCACGCUGACACGUAGGUGAAGUGAUUUACUCAUGGAGCUGAAGUCAGUCGAAGAUACCAGCUGGCUGCAACUGUUUAUUAAAAACACAGCACUGUGCAAACACGAAAGUGGACGUAUACGGUGUGACGCCUGCCCGGUGCCGGAAGGUUAAUUGAUGGGGUCAGCGCAAGCGAAGCUCCUGAUCGAAGCCCCGGUAAACGGCGGCCGUAACUAUAACGGUCCUAAGGUAGCGAAAUUCCUUGUCGGGUAAGUUCCGACCUGCACGAAUGGCGUAAUGAUGGCCAGGCUGUCUCCACCCGAGACUCAGUGAAAUUGAACUCGCUGUGAAGAUGCAGUGUACCCGCGGCAAGACGGAAAGACCCCGUGAACCUUUACUAUAGCUUGACACUGAACAUUGAGCCUUGAUGUGUAGGAUAGGUGGGAGGCUUUGAAGUGUGGACGCCAGUCUGCAUGGAGCCGACCUUGAAAUACCACCCUUUAAUGUUUGAUGUUCUAACGUGGACCCGUAAUCCGGGUUGCGGACAGUGUCUGGUGGGUAGUUUGACUGGGGCGGUCUCCUCCUAAAGAGUAACGGAGGAGCACGAAGGUUGGCUAAUCCUGGUCGGACAUCAGGAGGUUAGUGCAAUGGCAUAAGCCAGCUUGACUGCGAGCGUGACGGCGCGAGCAGGUGCGAAAGCAGGUCAUAGUGAUCCGGUGGUUCUGAAUGGAAGGGCCAUCGCUCAACGGAUAAAAGGUACUCCGGGGAUAACAGGCUGAUACCGCCCAAGAGUUCAUAUCGACGGCGGUGUUUGGCACCUCGAUGUCGGCUCAUCACAUCCUGGGGCUGAAGUAGGUCCCAAGGGUAUGGCUGUUCGCCAUUUAAAGUGGUACGCGAGCUGGGUUUAGAACGUCGUGAGACAGUUCGGUCCCUAUCUGCCGUGGGCGCUGGAGAACUGAGGGGGGCUGCUCCUAGUACGAGAGGACCGGAGUGGACGCAUCACUGGUGUUCGGGUUGUCAUGCCAAUGGCACUGCCCGGUAGCUAAAUGCGGAAGAGAUAAGUGCUGAAAGCAUCUAAGCACGAAACUUGCCCCGAGAUGAGUUCUCCCUGAGACUUAGAGUCUCCUGAAGGAACGUUGAAGACGACGACGUUGAUAGGCCGGGUGUGUAAGCGCAGCGAUGCGUUGAGCUAACCGGUACUAAUGAACCGUGAGGCUUAACCUUACA
This 2452-nucleotide ribosomal RNA is filed under the name Salmonella enterica subsp. enterica serovar Typhimurium. RNAcentral's name for it is "partial 23S ribosomal RNA". It matches the Rfam family "Bacterial large subunit ribosomal RNA", at positions 582 to 2925 of the family's 2925-position model. Lineage: Bacteria; Pseudomonadati; Pseudomonadota; Gammaproteobacteria; Enterobacterales; Enterobacteriaceae. The record is from RNAcentral.